GGUCAGAAGAUGUCUUGGUUAUACAUGCUCCUGAUGAUUCAACAGCUGUGCAAGGUACAACUCCAUAUACACAUAGCAGUCCUGGCACUCCAGUCAACAUGCCAUGGCUCAGUAGUACACAGACUGGCAGAGGAGCAUCUGCGAUGAUUAAGAAAGCCAUUAAUAAUAUCAGAAGAAUGACUUCUCAUCCCACUCUUCCUUGCUUGUAAAAUGUUUGAGAAAAGGGUUCUGUCACCAAAAUAAAGAUGGAAAACAAAACAGAUAAAGCUCUCUGGAAUGGAAAGCUCUGUGUUCUAAUUC
Phyllostomus discolor (pale spear-nosed bat) is the source of this 300-nucleotide long non-coding RNA. RefSeq lists it as uncharacterized. The transcript is spliced from 3 exons. The record is from RefSeq and is a predicted model, not a curated record. NCBI's taxonomy places the organism in Eukaryota, Metazoa, Chordata, Mammalia, Chiroptera, Phyllostomidae.